GCCAGACCUACUGACCCCGUGCCAUGCAUCGUAAAAAGCAACAAAAAUGCCCUAACCCCCUUUUCUUGAAGUGUCUAGAGGAUUGGCGGGAUGAAGCGAAGCAGAGGAACUCCAAGCUGCAGCACACUUACGCCAAGGCUGCUGUUGCCAUGAAGAAGUAUCCAUUACCUCUUAGUUGUGGAGAGGAGGCAAUGAUUCUUGAAAACAUUGGUGCCAUGAUUGCAAGAAGACUUAAUGAAGCCAUGAAAAAGUACUCCGUCAAUAAUCACCAAGAGGUGUUUGCAAAUCAUGCUUUGGAAGAUGAGUACACAACAGAUCCAGUGCUAGACUCACUUCUUGUACCUACUCCACCAUCAAUUGAAAUAAAUGAUGACAUUCUUGAAGAAGAACCUAAGAAGAAAAAGGAACCCAGGAGAAAAAUCACUCUUGAAUAUGUACCAGCCUUUAGAUCAGGACCUUAUGCUUUGAUUAUAACAUUGUAUCAACAUAGCCAGAGUCUUAACUUUCCAGGAUACAUGACAAGAGCUGAGCUUCAGAAGGAAGCACAGCCGCUUUGUGAUGCUUCCUUUACAAAGCCUGACCCAGGCAGUCAUUACACAGCAUGGUCCUCUAUGUCAGCACUGAUCAAAAAAGGUUUUAUUACCAAGACAAGCAAUCCAGCCAGAUAUUCCAUCACUGAUCAAGGCUGCAUUUUAGCCCAGAAGCUGAACAGAGUAAGUGGUGACAGGUUGUCGAUGGUGUCAUCACACUGUACUGCAGCCAUUACCACUAACCUGGCCUCCUCUAAUUUAGUUGACACAAAAUCUGGCAGUAAACUAUGUGUAUCCAGCAGUAGUGGUGUAUCAACAUCAAAGCCAGUCAUUGAUUUCAAACAAAUGGCCCUCAGUGAUGCUUCUGCAACAAGCUUUGAAGGAUUUACAAGUAUAGUUGUAAAAAGGGAAUUAAAUCCCAAGAGAAUUGUUGAGGCUGACGUCGACUUUGAUCCAGGUUUUGUGCUGAGACCAGGAACGUUUGAUGUCAUACUGUGUGUAGAUGUGAAUGAGACAACAGCAGAAGUCAACUCAAGGAAAGACGCUCUUAUCCCUGAACUUAAGAACAAUGGAGUACAGUUUGAUGUGCGCAAACUGCAGCUCGGAGACUUUCUUUGGGUGGCUCGUGAAAGACCUGUUCCCGUACCAGGUUGUUUGUCAGUACCUGUGGCUCGAGAACUUAUCCUGGAUUACAUUGUGGAAAGGAAAAGAAUGGAUGAUCUUUGUGGAAGUAUCAUUGACGGUCGUUUCCAUGAGCAAAAGUUUCGACUUCGCCAUUGUGGUCUUAGACACCCAAUCUACCUGGUAGAAGAUUUUGGCUCAAUUCAGCACAUGAGUCUACCGGAGAACACAUUGCUUCAAGCUAUCGUUAACACACAGGUUGUAGAUGGCUUUUUUGUAAAGCGGACACGAGAUUUGAAAGAGGGUGUUGCUUAUUUAACAGUCAUGACUCGAUACUUGCAAAAGUUUUACGCAAAUAAAACUCUUGUCAGCUGUCAUCAAGGAGGCCUGGAGCAAGCCCGUUUAAACAAUGAAAAGGAAAGAAAUAAAAUGUACCUCAUGAAUUUCCUCGAUUUUAACGACUCAACUGCCAAGAAUAAGGUGAUGACAGUGAGUGAAGUGUUUGCCAAGCAGCUUAUGCAGCUAAGUGGUGUGUCUCCUGACAAGGCUGUUGCAAUCUUGGACAAGUAUCCCACGCCUAAAAGUUUAUUAGAUGCAUACAAGGUACAGAAGAGUGUGGAAGAUCAGGAAUUGCUCCUUUCUGAGCUGAAAUGCGGUGAAAAUCAAAGGACAUUAGGAUCGUCUCUGAGUAAACUGAUUUAUCAGCUGUUCUGUUCACCAUCCUUGUGUUGAUACCUGAAGCGGAAACUGGUUUCUCUAUCUAUUUCUUCUAUGUGUUACUUACACAAACAAGUUGUCCAGAAAUCUUGAAGGAUAUGACAAUAGCCUUAAUUUGGCGGAAAAAAUGUGCAUGGAUAUUUCUUGGACGUUAUCUGUCCGCCAGUCAGUGGACAAAUAACUUAGGAGCGACUUUUUUUCAAGACCGCGUGAGAGGUGGCACAUCGACCGAAAAAUUACUAUCCUCAUAUUUCAGUCAGAGAUGCUUUACAGUGAGCUUACAAAAGUGGUAGUCAUUGCUGCGAAACUUGUUAACUUCGCAGCGGGGAUUUUAUGCAGAGUUGAACGUUACAAUGACAUUGCCAAGAAGAGCCAAUAAGCAGAACACAAAACAACAAAUAGCUAUAGAAAAAAGAUUAGGGAAAGGAUCAAGAGUCAGAGUAAAGGCGAAAAAGAGGCAGAGUACAAAAUGAUUGAAAUAGGAGAAGAAUACCAAGUAUGGAGCCGGCAAUAGAAUGAAAUAGAUAGGGUGAACUAGACCUGAGAAUAUAUAACUGUAUGAUAAACAACGUGCCAUUUGAAAUCACUACUACAAAUAAAGAAUCUUAGCUGAGUUAAGAACGUUCUUCCCAAAUUGAGAG
Molecule: unclassified non-coding RNA, 2509 nt
Filed under: Stylophora pistillata
Lineage: Eukaryota; Metazoa; Cnidaria; Anthozoa; Scleractinia; Pocilloporidae
Description: crossover junction endonuclease MUS81-like, transcript variant X2
Source: RNAcentral